UAGUGACAAACGGGUGAGUAACACGUGGGUUACCUACCUCUAAGACUGGGAUAACAGUUGGAAACGAUUGCUAAUACCGGAUGUGCUCUACGGAGUAAAGGAGCCUCUAAAGCUUCACUUAGAGAUGGGCCUGCGGUGCAUUAGCUAGUUGGUGGGGUAAUGGCCUACCAAGGCGACGAUGCAUAGCCGAACUGAGAGGUUAAUCGGCCACACUGGGACUGAGACACGGCCCAGACUCCUACGGGAGACAGCAGUUAGGAAUAUUCGUCAAUGGGGGAAACCCUGAACGAGCAAUGCCGCGUGAGUGAUGAAGGCCCUAUGGGUUGUAAAACUCUGUUGUUUGGAAAGAAUUGUACAAGUAGGAAAUGACUUGUGCUUGACGGUACCAUUCAAGAAAGCCACGGCUAACUACGUGCCAGCAGCCGCGGUAAUACGUAGGUGGCGAGCGUUAUCCGGAUUUAUUGGGCGUAAAGCGUCCGCAGCCGGUUUUGUAAGUCUAGAAUAAAAGCCUGGGGCUCAACCCCAGUUCGUUCUAGAAACUGCAAGGCUAGAGUGUGGUAGAGGCAAAUGGAAUUUCUAGUGUAGCGGUAAAAUGCGUAGAUAUUAGAAGGAACACCAGUGGCGAAGGCGAUUUGCUGGGCCACCACUGACGGUCAGGGACGAAAGCGUGGGGAGCAAAUAGGAUUAGAUACCCUAGUAGUCCACGCCGUAAACGGAUGAGCAUUAAGUGUUCGGGCAACCGGUGCUGAAGUUAACACAUUAAGUGCUCCGCGUGAGUAGUACGGUCGCAAGGAUGAAACUCAAAGGAAUUGACGGGCACCCGCACAAGCGGUGGAGCAUGCUGUUUAAUUCGAAAAUACGCGAAGAACCUUACCUAGACUCGACAUCCCUGGCGAAGCUUUAGAAAUAAAGUGGAGGUUAACCGGGUGACAGGUGGUGCAUGGUUGUCGUCAGCUCGUGUCGUGAGAUGUUUGGUUAAGUCCAACAACGAGCGCAACCCUCGUCUUUAGUUGCUAACAUUAAGUUGAGAACUCUAAAGAUACUGCCGGUGCAAGCCGGAGGAAGGUGGGGAUGACGUCAAAUCAUCAUGCCCCUUACGUCUAGGGCUACAGGCGUGCUACAAUGGCUGGUACAACGAGUCGCAACACGGUGACGUGAAGCCAAUCUCUAAAAGCCAGUCCCAGUUCGGAUUGAAGUCUGCAACUCGACUUCAUGAAGUUGGAAUCGCUAGUAAUCGCGAAUCAGAAUGUCGUGGUGAAUACGUUCCUCGGGUGUUGUACACACCGCCCGUCA
This 1293-nucleotide ribosomal RNA is filed under the name uncultured bacterium. Its description in RNAcentral is "bacterial SSU rRNA". It matches the Rfam family "Bacterial small subunit ribosomal RNA", at positions 93 to 1399 of the family's 1533-position model. The record is from RNAcentral.